AUUUAAGGUCCCUGCAAAUGCGAAUGAAUUGGUUAUCAGUUUAUGGUUGGCACCUGCUUCCUAAACCGAAAAAUGGUUUGAGUGUUAUUGUAUUGGAAUUGGGAGUGUAGAUCCUUAUUAGAAAAGAUGGGGUUAUAUAAACCCCUGUGUGUUCCUUCACAGCUUCUGGAUUGCCUCCAAGGUACUAUCUACAUCGUAUCUUUCUUCUUGAUUAAGUUUAUUUACUAUUUUUUUAUCUCUUUAUGAGGUUUUGAGUAAGUGAUGAUGUUAUUCUAAUUUACUUAUCUCAUACGCUAAUUCGUCUACAAUCUGAAAACUGAUUGAGAUCAUUUUCUGGUCAACGGGGUUUCCAACACCGAUGUUUAUGUUAAAUAAUGCUUUCAACACGGUGUAACCUGACUUAUAGCCUAGAAUUCUAAUGAUUGAUAUGUAUUUUGUUUAGAUUGAAUUUUUAUAGGUGACAUAAUAAGAACUUUAAAGGAAAAUAACUAUGAAUAUACAUGUGGAAAUGUUACUGUAAAGCUUGCAGAAGCUUAUGGCUUUUGCUAGGGUGUUGGGUGUGCUAUCAGAUUGCUUAUGAAGCUAGAAAACAAUUCCCUCAUCAGAAGAUUUGGAUCAUUAACAAAAUUAUUCACAACCCGACUGUUAAUAAGACAGGACGAUGCAGAUGGCUGUUGUUUACCAUGUAUUAUUGCAAGUUUAUAUCCUGUUGCUAGUGAUCAGGUGAGUUUUUAUAUAAAAAUAAUUUUCUUUUAAUAUGUAUUUUUUU
Molecule: non-coding RNA, 769 nt
Organism: Lactuca sativa (garden lettuce)
Lineage: Eukaryota; Viridiplantae; Streptophyta; Magnoliopsida; Asterales; Asteraceae
Source: RefSeq, a predicted model, not a curated record